UACGUAGGGUGCAAGCGUUGUCCGGAAUUAUUGGGCGUAAAGAGCUCGUAGGCGGUUUGUCGCGUCGAAUGUGAAAACCCGGGGCUCAACCCCGGGCCUGCAUUCGAUACGGGCAGACUAGAGUUCGGUAGGGGAGUCUGGAAUUCCUGGUGUAGCGGUGAAAUGCGCAGAUAUCAGGAGGAACACCGGUGGCGAAGGCGGGACUCUGGGCCGAUACUGACGCUGAGGAGCGAAAGCGUGGGGAGCGAACCGG
RNAcentral lists this ribosomal RNA (253 nucleotides) under uncultured bacterium. Its description in RNAcentral is "partial 16S ribosomal RNA". It matches the Rfam family "Bacterial small subunit ribosomal RNA", at positions 524 to 776 of the family's 1533-position model. The record is from RNAcentral.